UAGAGCCGUAUACGGCGAGAGUCGUACGUACGAUUCUCUUGGUAAGGAGACCAUAAUUAGUGAAACCAAGAAU
This 73-nucleotide unclassified non-coding RNA is filed under the name Selenomonas sp. KH1T6. Lineage: Bacteria; Bacillati; Bacillota; Negativicutes; Selenomonadales; Selenomonadaceae. The record is from RNAcentral.